GAUGAACGCUGGCGGCGUGCCUAAUACAUGCAAGUCGAGCGAACAGACGAGGAGCUUGCUCCUCUGACGUUAGCGGCGGACGGGUGAGUAACACGUGGAUAACCUACCUAUAAGACUGGGAUAACUUCGGGAAACCGGAGCUAAUACCGGAUAAUAUAUUGAACCGCAUGGUUCAAUAGUGAAAGACGGUUUUGCUGUUACUUAUAGAUGGAUCCGCGCCGCAUUAGCUAGUUGGUAAGGUAACGGCUUACCAAGGCAACGAUGCGUAGCCGACCUGAGAGGGUGAUCGGCCACACUGGAACUGAGACACGGUCCAGACUCCUACGGGAGGCAGCAGUAGGGAAUCUUCCGCAAUGGGCGAAAGCUUGACGGAGCAACGCCGCGUGAGUGAUGAAGGUCUUCGGAUCGUAAAACUCUGUUAUUAGGGAAGAACAAAUGUGUAAGUAACUAUGCACGUCUUGACGGUACCUAAUCAGAAAGCCACGGCUAACUACG
RNAcentral lists this ribosomal RNA (495 nucleotides) under uncultured bacterium. RNAcentral describes it as "partial 16S ribosomal RNA". It matches the Rfam family "Bacterial small subunit ribosomal RNA", at positions 28 to 505 of the family's 1533-position model. The record is from RNAcentral.